Molecule: long non-coding RNA, 1201 nt
Filed under: Heterocephalus glaber (naked mole-rat)
Lineage: Eukaryota; Metazoa; Chordata; Mammalia; Rodentia; Bathyergidae
Description: lncRNA (ENSHGLG00100047978.1)
Source: RNAcentral
CCCCAACUCCGCAGCGCCUUGGGUCCACCGUUAGGGCGUCACCAAGGUCUGCUCUGGUGUGAACCUGGGUGCCAGGACCUGCCUGCCAUCCGAGGGAGUCCAGGGAAUGGGCGGCCCUGGAGGUGCGCUCCCACCCUCCUCGCCAGGGCCUACCCCUGCUGGGUAGCAGGGAGCCCUGGGGCAGCGGUCCCUUUCAAGUUCUAAGUAGCCUCCCUUGGAAAGCCACGCGUGCAGCGCACGUCUGCUGGUCUGCCUUCACCGUGUCCGCCCACUCCGCUGCUCUGGGCCCCAACCAGUCUCUGUUCAAGGACUUGCAGCGGACACACUGUUCCCUUCCCCUGGGUGGGACGGCACUUGAGCUGUGCCACCAGCCAUAACCCUGCUCACACCCAGCCGCUCCCCCAGGUUAAUCUGGCCCCUGCCAACUCCCGAAUUGGCUCGAUUUCUUUCAUUCUGGUGCCGAAACCCAGGAAGGUACAGCUGAGAUUAGUGACCAUCCGCCGCUGGUGGGGGUUGGUUGGUCCCUUGGCCAUCCUUCCUGAACCCUGUUGGAUGAGCACCCGACCAGGCGCCUUCACCUUUGCCACUGCUGACACCUCGCAUCCACACCAGUCCCCGAUUCCUGGGAGCUGUCACUAUACUCUGCAUGAUUCUGCUUUUUGGACCGUGCCUGUUCCGUUGUUUUCAAAAGUUCUUACAGGAACGCAUGAGAGCCUUCACAAACCAGACAGACUGUGAGCUCGUCAUGGCCAGAUACCAGCCCCUCGCCACUGAUACAAGCUCGCGAUACCGGGACCUCACUGUGGCCAUCUAAAGACCCCACCCAACAAAGCCCCUUUGCCGGCAAGAAGUAGCUACAGAAGAAGAGACCCUCGCCCCUAUUCCAUAAUAACAAGAGACUGGAAUGUGAGACAAUAUGGCCAGAGGGAGGUCUGUUACUCAAAAUGGCACCCACUUCUCCUAAAUGGGUCGUUUCCUCUCUCAGAAAAUGGAAAUGAACUCGCCAACCUGCCUCUCUACUCAUUGUCCAAUAAGUUUAAACUCUGUCACUUGCCUCAGCCAUACAACCAAUCCUCAACCCCCACAAUGCUCUCCUGUCACACAACCCUUUAUAAACCUCACCUAGUUAGACUCUCGCUCAUUCUCCAUUGUUCGAGACAGCCUGGCAGCUUCUUCCCACAAUAAAGCCCUGCCUCAGGUG